This is a long non-coding RNA of Lycium ferocissimum, 156 nucleotides long. RefSeq lists it as uncharacterized. The record is from RefSeq and is a predicted model, not a curated record. The transcript is spliced from 2 exons. Lineage: Eukaryota; Viridiplantae; Streptophyta; Magnoliopsida; Solanales; Solanaceae.
AAAAGAGGCUCAGAUUAGCCUAAAAUUAUAUCAGAAAAGGGGCUAUUCGCCAUGGCUGCAAAAAGCGGAGGCCUUUGUGAGAGCGCAUAAGAACCAACCUCACAAAUUCCCCUGCCUUUGCCUAGUAAGCAAACAAACAGAAAGAAUAAGAAGAAA